Molecule: long non-coding RNA, 1897 nt
Organism: Macaca mulatta (Rhesus monkey)
Lineage: Eukaryota; Metazoa; Chordata; Mammalia; Primates; Cercopithecidae
Source: Ensembl
AUGUCCGCCCUGCAACUGUACCUGGCUUGUGUCCCACAAGGAGAAAGAUGCAGGGGCCUCCAGAAGCUAAAGAGCCACCAGGUUUCCAGGUCCCUCAGGCCCCUGCACAUCCUCAGCUCUCUGAAGAACAGUGACUGGUGUGACGACAGGGCCCCUUCACAGAGCGAACCUGACAAAGAGCUACUCACCGCACACACGAGCCUUAGAAUGCACAUGUCAGUGUUUUGGGAAAUAUGUGCUGUUUUGAAAUGUGUCUGGGCCAUGAGUAAGUUUGGGGGGAGACGGGAUAGGAGCUUUUCUUCCAGUUAACGAAGUGAGGCUUCAUGGAGGAAGAAGAUUUUCUUAGUCACAUUUCCUGUUUCACACUGACCUUUUAAAAGGAAACCCACAACUGAACCUGUGCUAGGGCCUGCUUACAAAACCUACCCACAGGUAUAAUAAAGAUGAUCUAAAUAAAGCCAAGCUUAACCUGAAUCAGUGGAAAUAAUAAGAUCACCAAGAAGGGCUGAUGGCCUGAGAUAAGGGACAUGGUGGUGCUCCAUAAACUGCAAAUAGAAGUGACACGUGAGAGAUUUAAUGAUUAUUAAACAGGAAUCUAAGCAGAGAGGCAGAGAUAAACCAUGCAAUCUUUUCAUCAGUCUCUAUGUACUCAGGGCUUAGCCACUUGUUAUAAAAUGGAGACUCUGAAAACUUAGGAGAGAUGGAUGCAGUGAUUUCAAAAGAAGUUGUGUUGAUUGGGUUAUAAAAUUAAUUAUGGGAAUUAAGAUUUCUUAUCUGCAGAGGGAAAAACCAACAGAUAACUGAAGAACUUAAAGUUGGUAAGGGGCCGGGCUUGGUAGCUCAUGCCUAUAAUCCCAACACCUCAGGAGCCUGAAACAAGAGGACUGCUUGAGCCCGGUAGUUCAAAGUUAGCCUGGGCAACAUAGUGAGAUCCCACAUCUAUAAAAAUAAUGUUUUUUGUCCCCAGAUGUGGUGGUGUGUGCUUCUAGUCCCAGCUACUCGGGUGGCUAAGCCUAGGAGGUUGAGGAUGCAGUGUUCUGUGAUCAUACCACUGCACUACAGCCUGGGUGAUGGAGCAAAACUCCAUUUCAGAAAAAAACCAAAAAGUUGGUAAGGGAUCAGUUAUUGGAUGACACAUUGCCAUAUCUACUGACCAAAGAAUGACAGGCCCAAACAGUAGCAGACAGAUGUGGGAUACUCAAGGAUGUCCCAGAGAUGGCCAGGUAUGGUGGCUCAUGCCUGUAAUCCCAGCACUUUGGGAGGCCAAGGCAGGCAGAUCACUUGAGAUCAGGAGUUCGAGAUCAACCUGGCCAACAUGGUGAAAUCCUGUCUCUACUAAAAAUACAAAACUUAGCCAGGCGUGGUGGUGCAUGCCUGUAUUCUCAGCUACCCUGGAGGCUAAAGCAGGAGAAUUACUUGAACCCAGGAGGCAGAGGUUCCAGUGAGCUGAGAUUACACCAUUGCACUUCAUCCUGGGCAACACAGUGAGACUCCAACUCAAAAAAAAAAAAAAAAAAAGAAUGUCCCAGAGACACCUGCAGAACAGUCUCCAAGGCCUGAAGAGCUUCACCAUCAGGCAGCACCCAAUGCCAUGGCUGUUUACACUGAUUCAGGAAAACGUCACAGAAAUGUUAAGUUUGAAAGCUUUGUUUUGUUUUUUUACUUUUUUAUUUUAAAAAAUAUGUAAUGCUUCACAAAUUUGUGUGUCUUCUUUGCUCAGGGGCCAUGCUAAUCUUCUCUGUAUUGUUCCAAUUUUAGUACAUGUGCUGCCAAAGAGAGCACUGUUUUGUUUUGUUUUAAACAAGGAGGCCUGGAAUUGGACUGAAGUAAAAAAAAAAAAAAAAAAAAUCAUACAAAGGAAACAGUAAUUAUGUUAGCAAAAAUAGAGUAGGGAAUA